RNAcentral lists this ribosomal RNA (495 nucleotides) under uncultured soil bacterium. RNAcentral's name for it is "bacterial SSU rRNA". It matches the Rfam family "Bacterial small subunit ribosomal RNA", at positions 26 to 521 of the family's 1533-position model. The record is from RNAcentral.
AGAUUGAACGCUGGCGGCAGGCCUAACACAUGCAAGUUGAGCGGUAGAGAGGUGCUUGCAUCUCUUGAGAGCGGCGGACGGGUGAGUAAUGCCUAGGAAUCUGCCUAGUGGUGGGGGAUAACGUUCGGAAACGGACGCUAAUACCGCGUACGUCCUACGGGAGAAAGCGGGGGACCUUCGGGCCUCGCGCCAUUAGAUGAGCCUAGGUCGGAUUAGCUAGUUGGUGAGGUAAUGGCUCACCAAGGCGACGAUCCGUAACUGGUCUGAGAGGAUGAUCAGUCACACUGGAACUGAGACACGGUCCAGACUCCUACGGGAGGCAGCAGUGGGGAAUAUUGGACAAUGGGCGAAAGCCUGAUCCAGCCAUGCCGCGUGUGUGAAGAAGGUCUUCGGAUUGUAAAGCACUUUAAGUUGGAGAAGGUUGUAACUUAAUACGUUGACAAUUUGACGUUACCGACAGAAUAAGCACGGCUAACUCGUGCCAGCAGCCGUACG